Molecule: long non-coding RNA, 349 nt
Organism: Lytechinus variegatus (green sea urchin)
Lineage: Eukaryota; Metazoa; Echinodermata; Echinoidea; Temnopleuroida; Toxopneustidae
Exons: 2
Source: RefSeq, a predicted model, not a curated record
AGAAGGGACUUCAGUUGUUGUUUAUACAAAAUGUAAAUAUGAAUUCAUUCUCAUCUGUUACUAUAUGAAAAAUUUGGUAUUCACUUUUUAACAGGUGACCCACACAAACGGUGAGAAGAGGUAAAGAGAGAAAGGGGCACAGCAACUGGAAGGAGAGGGAAGUCCAGACACUCUACCACUGUCUGCGAUUGAAUAAGAAAUUUCUCUUUGGAUCAGGGGGUCAAGCUUCUAGUAUGAAGAUUGUUCAAGAGUCACGACUGUUGAAGAGGUGACGUCAUUGACCUGGUAGCACCUGGCAAGGGAACUAAAUUAUAUUACUGUUCACCCUCAAGUAUCCUAAAAACGGUUU